RNAcentral lists this ribosomal RNA (460 nucleotides) under uncultured bacterium. RNAcentral describes it as "partial 16S ribosomal RNA". It matches the Rfam family "Bacterial small subunit ribosomal RNA", at positions 338 to 795 of the family's 1533-position model. The record is from RNAcentral.
CCUACGGGCGGCAGCAGUGAGGAAUAUUGGUCAAUGGACGAGAGUCUGAACCAGCCAAGUAGCGUGAAGGAUGACUGCCCUAUGGGUUGUAAACUUCUUUUAUCUGGGAAUAAAAUGUUCCACGUGUGGGAUAUUGUAUGUACCAUAUGAAUAAGGAUCGGCUAACUCCGUGCCAGCAGCCGCGGGAAUACGGAGGAUCCGAGCGUUAUCCGGAUUUAUUGGGGUGAAAGGGGGCGUAGGUGGGUAGUUAAGGCAGUUGUGAAAGGGUGCGGCUCAACCGUAAGAUUGCAGUUGAAACUGGCAGUCUUGAGUACAGGAGAGGUGGGCGGAAUGCGUGGUGUAGCGGUGAAAUGCUUAGAUAUCACGAAGAACGCCGAUUGCGAAGGCAGCUCACUGGACUGCAACUGACACUGAGGCUCGAAAGUGUGGGUAUCAAACAGGAUUAGAUACCCCAGUAGUC